This 253-nucleotide ribosomal RNA is filed under the name uncultured bacterium. RNAcentral describes it as "partial 16S ribosomal RNA". It matches the Rfam family "Bacterial small subunit ribosomal RNA", at positions 57 to 305 of the family's 1533-position model. The record is from RNAcentral.
GCAAGUCGAGCGGUAAGCUAACUUCGGUUAGCCUAGAGCGGCGGACGGGUGAGUAACACGUGGAUAAUCUACCUCCUUGUUUGGGAUAGCUUGUGGAAACAUAAGGUAAUACCGAAUGAGAUUCAUUUGUCAAAAGGCUUUUGAAGGAAAGGCGCUGAGGGGUCGCAAGGAGAUGAGUCCGCGGCCCAUUAGAGAGAGGGCAGGGUAAAAGAGUACCGUGGCAAUGAUGGGUAGCCGGCCUGAGAGGGUGAGC